UCCCAGGUGGCACAGUGGUAAAGAAUCUGCCUGCAAUGCAGGAGACAUGGGUUCGAUCCCUGUGUAGGGAA
RNAcentral lists this transfer RNA (71 nucleotides) under Bos taurus (domestic cattle). It matches the Rfam family "tRNA". From Rfam's summary of the family: Transfer RNA (tRNA) molecules are approximately 80 nucleotides in length. Their secondary structure includes four short double-helical elements and three loops (D, anti-codon, and T loops). Further hydrogen bonds mediate the characteristic L-shaped molecular structure. tRNAs have two regions of fundamental functional importance: the anti-codon, which is responsible for specific mRNA codon recognition, and the 3' end, to which the tRNAs corresponding amino acid is attached (by aminoacyl-tRNA synthetases). tRNAs cope with the degeneracy of the genetic code in two manners: having more than one tRNA (with a specific anti-codon) for a particular amino acid; and 'wobble' base-pairing, i.e. permitting non-standard base-pairing at the 3rd anti-codon position. The record is from Rfam by way of RNAcentral. RNAcentral also lists the same sequence under 4 other names. Lineage: Eukaryota; Metazoa; Chordata; Mammalia; Artiodactyla; Bovidae.